RNAcentral lists this ribosomal RNA (429 nucleotides) under uncultured Polaromonas sp. Its description in RNAcentral is "bacterial SSU rRNA". It matches the Rfam family "Bacterial small subunit ribosomal RNA", at positions 948 to 1382 of the family's 1533-position model. The record is from RNAcentral. Lineage: Bacteria; Pseudomonadati; Pseudomonadota; Betaproteobacteria; Burkholderiales; Comamonadaceae.
AAUUCGAUGCAACGACGAAGAACCUUACCUAGACUUGACAGUCCGGAAUCCUUAGGAACUAAGGAGUGCCUUCGGGAGCCCGGAGACAGGUGCUGCAUGGCUGUCGUCAGCUCGUGUCGUGAGAUGUUGGUAAGUCCCGCAACGAGCGCAACCCUUGUCAUUAGUUGCUACAUUCAGUUGGGCACUCUAAUGAGACUGCCGGUGACAAACCGGAGGAAGGUGGGGAUGACGUCAAGUCCUCAUGGCCCUUAUAGGUGGGGCUACACACGUCAUACAAUGGAUGGUACAAAGGGUCGCCAACCCGCGAGGGGGAGCCAAUCCCAUAAAGCCAUUCGUAGUCCGGAUCGCAGUCUGCAACUCGACUGCGUGAAGUCGGAAUCGCUAGUAAUCGUGGAUCAGAAUGUCACGGUGAAUACGUUCCCGGGUCUU